UGGGGAAUAUUGCACAAUGGGCGAAAGCCUGAUGCAGCGCCGCCGCGUGAGGGAUGACGGCCUUCGGGUUGUAAACCUCUUUCAGCAGGGACGAAGCGCAAGUGACGGUACCUGCAGAAGAAGCACCGGCUAACUACGUCCCAGCAGCCGCGGUAAUACGUAGGGUGCAAGCGUUGUCCGGAAUUACUGGGCGUAAAGAGUUCGUAGGCGGUUUGUCGCGUCGUUUGUGAAAACCAGCAGCUCAACUGCUGGCUUGCAGGCGAUACGGGCGGACUUGAGUACUGCAGGGGAGGCUGGAAUUCCUGGUGUAGCGGUGAAAUGCGCAGAUAUCAGGAGGAACACCGGUGGCGAAGGCGGGUAUCUGGGCAGUUACUGACGCUGAGGAACGAAAGCGUGGGUAGCGAACAGG
This 409-nucleotide ribosomal RNA is filed under the name bacterium. RNAcentral describes it as "partial 16S ribosomal RNA". It matches the Rfam family "Bacterial small subunit ribosomal RNA", at positions 355 to 776 of the family's 1533-position model. The record is from RNAcentral.